This 468-nucleotide ribosomal RNA is filed under the name uncultured bacterium. RNAcentral's name for it is "partial 16S ribosomal RNA". It matches the Rfam family "Bacterial small subunit ribosomal RNA", at positions 28 to 507 of the family's 1533-position model. The record is from RNAcentral.
GACGAACGCUGGCGGCGUGCUUAACACAUGCAAGUCGAACGGAAAGGCCCUGCUUUUGUGGGGUGCUCGAGUGGCGAACGGGUGAGUAACACGUGAGUAACCUGCCCUUGACUUUGGGAUAACUUCAGGAAACUGGGGCUAAUACCGGAUAGGAGCUCCUGCUGCAUGGUGGGGGUUGGAAAGUUUCGGCGGUUGGGGAUGGACUCGCGGCUUAUCAGCUUGUUGGUGGGGUAGUGGCUUACCAAGGCUUUGACGGGUAGCCGGCCUGAGAGGGUGACCGGCCACAUUAGGACUGAGAUACGGCCCAGACUCCUACGGGAGGCAGCAGUGGGGAAUAUUGCACAAUGGGCGGAAGCCUGAUGCAGCAACGCCGCGUGCGGGAUGACGGCCUUCGGGUUGUAACCCGCUUUCGCCUGUGACGAAGCGUGAGUGACGGUAAUGGGUAAAGAAGCACCGGCUAACUACGUG